Molecule: ribosomal RNA, 480 nt
Filed under: Sesamia sp. SEZAG6579
Lineage: Eukaryota; Metazoa; Arthropoda; Insecta; Lepidoptera; Noctuidae
Description: partial 16S large subunit ribosomal RNA
Source: RNAcentral
UGUCUUUUUGAAAAUAAUAUAAAGUCUAAUCUGCCCACUGAUUUAUAAUUGAAGGGCUGCAGUAUUUUGACUGUACAAAGGUAGCAUAAUCAUUAGUCAUUUAAUUGAUGACUUGUAUGAAAGAUUGGAUGAAAUAUAUACUGUCUCUUAAUUAUUAAUGUAGAAUUUAAUUUUUUAUUUAAAAAGUUAAAAUAUAUUAAAAAGACGAGAAGACCCUAUAGAGUUUUAUAAUUAAAUUUAAUUGAAAUUAUUUAUGAAAUUAAAAUUAAAAUUAAUUUAAUUAUUGUAUUGGGGUGAUAGAAAAAUAUAAGUAACUUUUUAUAUAUUAUAAAACAUUAAUAUGUGAUUAAAUGAUCCAAUAUUAUUGAUUAUAAGAAAAAAUUACCUUAGGGAUAACAGCGUAAUUUUUUUUUUUAGUUCAUAUAAAAAAGAGAGUUUGCGACCUCGAUGUUGGAUUAAGAUAAAAUUUAAAUGUAGAAG